RNAcentral lists this ribosomal RNA (513 nucleotides) under uncultured bacterium. RNAcentral's name for it is "partial 16S ribosomal RNA". It matches the Rfam family "Bacterial small subunit ribosomal RNA", at positions 28 to 523 of the family's 1533-position model. The record is from RNAcentral.
GACGAACGCUGGCGGCGUGCUUAACACAUGCAAGUCGAACGGUGAAAGCGGAGCUUGCUCCGCUGGAUCAGUGGCGGACGGGUGAGUAACACGUGGGUAACCUGCCCAUAAGACUGGGAUAACUCCGGGAAACCGGGGCUAAUACCGGAUAACAUUUUGAACCGCAUGGUUCGAAAUUGAAAGGCGGCUUCGGCUGUCACUUAUGGAUGGACCCGCGUCGCAUUAGCUAGUUGGUGAGGUAACGGCUCACCAAGGCAACGAUGCGUAGCCGACCUGAGAGGGUGAUCGGCCACACUGGGACUGAGAGAAUGCCCAGACUCCGACGGGAGGCAGAAGUAGGGAAUCUUCCGCAAUGGACGAAAGUCUGACGGAGCAACGCCGCGUGAGUGAUGAAGGCUUUCGGGUCGUAAAACUCUGUUGUUAGGGAAGAACAAGUGCUAGUUGAAUAAGCUGGCACCUUGACGGUACCUAACCAGAAAGCCACGGCUAACUACGUGCCAGCAGCCGCGGUAA